This 207-nucleotide non-coding RNA is filed under the name Eubacteriales bacterium. RNAcentral describes it as "6S RNA". It matches the Rfam family "6S / SsrS RNA". Rfam says of the family: E. coli 6S RNA was the first non coding RNA to be sequenced, but its function was unknown until recently. It consists of 184 nucleotides that fold into an extended hairpin structure with a large single-stranded internal bulge. The record is from RNAcentral. Lineage: Bacteria; Bacillati; Bacillota; Clostridia; Eubacteriales.
AAGUUCCUGCUGUGUGCGUGCUGCUCUUUGAAGCUUCACGGCCCAUUAAACCCACAUCUCUAAUAAGGGAUGCCGAUCUUGAAUCUGCGGAUUGCAGGCCUCCCGGCUCAUACCCGGACGUUGGAAGCAGCGAAACAGAACUUAGGCGACCCACCUGCCCUUUCGUGCAGGUUAUAAUCGGGCCGACACGGCAUUUGCGGGACGGCU